Molecule: ribosomal RNA, 510 nt
Filed under: uncultured bacterium
Lineage: Bacteria
Description: partial 16S ribosomal RNA
Rfam family: Bacterial small subunit ribosomal RNA
Source: RNAcentral
GACGAACGCUGGCGGCGUGCUUAACACAUGCAGGUCGAACGAAGAGCGACGGAAGCUUGCUUCUAUCAAUCUUAGUGGCGAACGGGUGAGUAACGCGUAAUCAACCUGCCCUUCAGAGGGGGACAACAGUUGGAAACGACUGCUAAUACCGCAUACGAUCUAACCUCGGCAUCGAGGAUAGAUGAAAGGUGGCCUCUACAUGUAAGCUAUCACUGAAGGAGGGGAUUGCGUCUGAUUAGCUAGUUGGAGGGGUAACGGCCCACCAAGGCGAUGAUCAGUAGCCGGUCUGAGAGGAUGAACGGCCACAUUGGGACUGAGACACGGCCCAGACUCCUACGGGAGGCAGCAGUGGGGAAUCUUCCGCAAUGGACGAAAGUCUGACGGAGCAACGCCGCGUGAGUGAUGACGGCCUUCGGGUUGUAAAGCUCUGUUAAUCGGGACGGAAGGCCUUCUUGCGAAUAGUGAGAAGGAUUGACGGUACCGGAAUAGAAAGCCACGGCUAACUACGUG